Molecule: long non-coding RNA, 487 nt
Organism: Passer domesticus (house sparrow)
Lineage: Eukaryota; Metazoa; Chordata; Aves; Passeriformes; Passeridae
Exons: 3
Source: RefSeq, a predicted model, not a curated record
UGAAGAAGAGAAUUUUUGCAAAGUUUCCCCAAAUUUAACGUCACCUCUUUAUGAAAAAGUGGGGAAGUGUCUGCUAACCAAGACAAGACGACUACGUAGAUAAGAACAAUCCUCCCGGAUCCCUUUACGGGGUGGAUUGGAUUUGCCGUCACCACCACCACCACUCGCUUCCCAAAGAUGCUAAUUUAUGGCGGGAGCGCUCUCGCUCUCCCGGCGGGUCUGCUGCCUGCCGGAGCGGGCAGGUGAAGGGAGAGCCGUGUGAGCCGGGCUGAUGCAGCCACCGAGAGCGGCUGGGGGAGCACCGGCGCCGGCAGCUCAGCCCGUUCCCGGGAAUCUCCGAGCCCCGGGAGGCAGGUGCCCGAGCUGCCGCCGCCGCCGCCGCAGAUGCAGGGAAAACCGCCUGACAUCAUGGGAGCGGGACAAGAGCGCACUUUGAAGGGCUCCUGGGCAGGACUUCAAGUGAAAUCAUACGCCGGGGAGGAAUCCG